This 433-nucleotide ribosomal RNA is filed under the name uncultured bacterium. Its description in RNAcentral is "partial 16S ribosomal RNA". It matches the Rfam family "Bacterial small subunit ribosomal RNA", at positions 29 to 507 of the family's 1533-position model. The record is from RNAcentral.
AACGAACGCUGGCGGCAUGCCUAACACAUGCAAGUCGAACGAGACCUUCGGGUCUAGUGUCGCACGGGUGCGUAACGCGUGGGAACCUGCCCUUAGGUUCGGAAUAACUCCCCGAAAGGGGUGCUAAUACCGGAUAAUGUCUUCGGACCAAAGAUUUAUCGCCUUUGGAUGGGCCCGCGUUGGAUUAGCUAGUUGGUAGGGUAAAAGCCUAUCAAGGCGACGAUCCAUAGCUGGUCUGAGAGGAUGAUCAGCCACACUGGGACUGAGACACGGCCCAGACUCCUACGGGAGGCAGCAGUGGGGAAUAUUGGACAAUGGGCGAAAGCCUGAUCCAGCAAUGCCGCGUGAGUGAUGAAGGCCUUAGGGUUGUAAAGCUCUUUUACCCGGGAUGAUAAUGACAGUACCGGGAGAAUAAGCUCCGGCUAACUCCGUG